This 1369-nucleotide ribosomal RNA is filed under the name uncultured bacterium. RNAcentral describes it as "bacterial SSU rRNA". It matches the Rfam family "Bacterial small subunit ribosomal RNA", at positions 28 to 1381 of the family's 1533-position model. The record is from RNAcentral.
GACGAACGCUGGCGGCGUGCCUAAUACAUGCAAGUAGAACGCUGAAGAGAGGAGCUUGCUCUUCUUGGAUGAGUUGCGAACGGGUGAGUAACGCGUAGGUAACCUGCCUGGUAGCGGGGGAUAACUAUUGGAAACGAUAGCUAAUACCGCAUAAAAUUGAUUAUUGCAUGAUAAUUAAUUGAAAGAUGCAACUGCAUCACUACCAGAUGGACCUGCGUUGUAUUAGCUAGUUGGUGAGGUAACGGCUCACCAAGGCGACGAUACAUAGCCGACCUGAGAGGGUGAUCGGCCACACUGGGACUGAGACACGGCCCAGACUCCUACGGGAGGCAGCAGUAGGGAAUCUUCGGCAAUGGGGGGAACCCUGACCGAGCAACGCCGCGUGAGUGAAGAAGGUUUUCGGAUCGUAAAGCUCUGUUGUAAGAGAAGAACGGGUGUGAGAGUGGAAAGUUCACACUGUGACGGUAUCUUACCAGAAAGGGACGGCUAACUACGUGCCAGCAGCCGCGGUAAUACGUAGGUCCCGAGCGUUGUCCGGAUUUAUUGGGCGUAAAGCGAGCGCAGGCGGUUAGAUAAGUCUGAAAGUUAAGGCUGUGGCUUAACCAUAGUAUGCUUUGGAAACUGUUUAACUUGAGUGCAGAAGGGGAGAGUGGAAUUCCAUGUGUAGCGGUGAAAUGCGUAGAUAUAUGGAGGAACACCGGUGGCGAAAGCGGCUCUCUGGUCUGUAACUGACGCUGAGGCUCGAAAGCGUGGGGAGCAAACAGGAUUAGAUACCCUGGUGGUCCACGCCGUAAACGAUGAGUGCUAGGUGUUAGGCCCUUUCCGGGGCUUAGUGCCGCAGCUAACGCAUUAAGCACUCCGCCUGGGGAGUACGACCGCAAGGUUGAAACUCAAAGGAAUUGACGGGGGCCCGCACAAGCGGUGGAGCAUGUGGUUUAAUUCGAAGCGACGCGAAGAACCUUACCAGGUCUUGACAUCCCUCUGACCGCUCUAGAGAUAGAGUUUUCCUUCGGGACAGAGGUGACAGGUGGUGCAUGGUUGUCGUCAGCUCGUGUCGUGAGAUGUUGGGUUAAGUCCCGCAACGAGCGCAACCCCUAUUGUUAGUUGCCAUCAUUGAGUUGGGCACUCUAGCGAGACUGCCGGUAAUAAACCGGAGGAAGGUGGGGAUGACGUCAAAUCAUCAUGCCCCUUAUGACCUGGGCUACACACGUGCUACAAUGGCUGGUACAACGAGUCGCAAGCCGGUGACGGCAAGCUAAUCUCUGAAAGCCAGUCUCAGUUCGGAUUGUAGGCUGCAACUCGCCUACAUGAAGUCGGAAUCGCUAGUAAUCGCGGAUCAGCACGCCGCGGUGAAUACGUUCCCGGGCCU